RNAcentral lists this ribosomal RNA (442 nucleotides) under uncultured archaeon. RNAcentral's name for it is "bacterial SSU rRNA". It matches the Rfam family "Archaeal small subunit ribosomal RNA", at positions 1004 to 1445 of the family's 1478-position model. The record is from RNAcentral.
CCAGCUCGUGCCGUGAGAUGUCCUGUUAAGUCAGGCAACGAGCGAGAUCCCUGCCACUAGUUGCUAUCAUUAUUCUCAGGAAUAGUGGGGCGAAUUAGUGGGACUGCCGUUGUUAAAACGGAGGAAGGAAGGGGCUACGGCAGGUCAGUAUGCCCCGAAACUCUGGGGCCACACGCGGGCUGCAAUGGUAGUGACAAUGAGUUCCAAACUCGAAAGAGAGUGGCAAUCUCUAAACGCUACCACAGUUAUGACUGAGGGCUGUAACUCGCCCUCACGAAUAUGGAAUCCCUAGUAACCGCGUGUCAUUACCGCGCGGUGAAUACGUCCCUGCUCCUUGCACACACCGCCCGUCGUUUCAUCGAAGUUUGCUUUUAGCGAGGUGAUGUUUAAUUGGCAUUAUCGAACUUGAGGUAAGCGACGAGGGAAAAGUCGUAACAAGGUA